Molecule: ribosomal RNA, 393 nt
Filed under: Stercorarius antarcticus hamiltoni
Lineage: Eukaryota; Metazoa; Chordata; Aves; Charadriiformes; Stercorariidae
Description: partial 12S small subunit ribosomal RNA
Rfam family: Bacterial small subunit ribosomal RNA
Source: RNAcentral
GCCUAGCCCUAAAUCCUGAUGCUUACCGUACCAAAGCAUCCGCCUGGGAACUACGAGCACAAACGCUUAAAACUCUAAGGACUUGGCGGUGUCCCAAACCCACCUAGAGGAGCCUGUUCUAUAAUCGAUAACCCACGAUUCACCCGACCACCUCUUGCCAGAGCAGCCUACAUACCGCCGUCGCCAGCUCACCUCCCCUGAGAGCCCAACAGUGAGCACAAUAGCCCAACCCACUAACAAGACAGGUCAAGGUAUAGCCCAUGGGGUGGAAGAAAUGGGCUACAUUUUCUACAAUAGAAAACCUACGAAAGAGGGUAUGAAAUAACCCCCGGAAGGCGGAUUUAGCAGUAAAGGGGAACAAUAGGGCCCCCUUUAAGUUGGCCCUGGGGCACG